CCCGCUGAACUUAAGCAUAUCAAUAAGCGGAGGAAAAGAAACUAACGAGGAUUCCCCUAGUAACUGCGAGUGAAGCGGGAAAAGCUCAAAUUUAAAAUCUGGUGGCCUUUGGCCGUCCGAGUUGUAAUUUAGAGAAGCGUCUUCCGCGCCGGACCGUGCACAAGUCUCCUGGAAUGGAGCGUCAUAGAGGGUGAGAAUCCCGUCUUUGGCACGGAACCCCUGGUGCUUCUGUGAUGCGCUCUCGAAGAGUCGAGUUGUUUGGGAAUGCAGCUCAAAAUGGGUGGUGAACUCCAUCUAAAGCUAAAUAUUGGCGAGAGACCGAUAGCGAACAAGUACCGUGAGGGAAAGAUGAAAAGCACUUUGGAAAGAGAGUGAAACAGUACGUGAAAUUGUUGAAAGGGAAACGCUUGGAGUCAGUCGCGUCGGCCAAGACUCAGCCUUGCCUCGGCUUGGUGUACUUCUUGGCCGACGGGCCAGCAUCGAUUUCGUCCCUCAGAUAAUGGCAAGGGAAAGGUGGCACCUUUGCAGGUGUGUUAUAGUCUCCUGUCGCAUGUGAGGGGUGGGAUCGAGGAACUCAGCACGCACCUUUCGGUGUCGGGGCUUCGGCCCACGUUACGUGCUUAGGAUGUUGGCGUAAUGGCUCUAAACGACCCGUCUUGAAACACGG
Molecule: ribosomal RNA, 667 nt
Filed under: uncultured fungus
Lineage: Eukaryota; Fungi
Description: eukaryotic LSU rRNA
Rfam family: Eukaryotic large subunit ribosomal RNA
Source: RNAcentral